GAUGAACGCUGGCGGCGUGCCUAAUACAUGCAAGUCGAGCGAACGGACGAGAAGCUUGCUUCUCUGAUGUUAGCGGCGGACGGGUGAGUAACACGUGGAUAACCUACCUAUAAGACUGGGAUAACUUCGGGAAACCGGAGCUAAUACCGGAUAAUAUUUUGAACCGCAUGGUUCAAAAGUGAAAGACGGUCUUGCUGUCACUUAUAGAUGGAUCCGCGCUGCAUUAGCUAGUUGGUAAGGUAACGGCUUACCAAGGCAACGAUGCAUAGCCGACCUGAGAGGGUGAUCGGCCACACUGGAACUGAGACACGGUCCAGACUCCUACGGGAGGCAGCAGUAGGGAAUCCUCCGCAAUGGGCGAAAGCCUGACGGAGCAACGCCGCGUGAGUGAUGAAGGUCUUCGGAUCAUAAAACUCUGUUAUUAGGGAAGAACAUAUGUGUAAGUAACUGUGCACAUCUUGACGGUACCUAAUCAGAAAGCCACGGCUAACUACGUG
Molecule: ribosomal RNA, 497 nt
Filed under: uncultured bacterium
Lineage: Bacteria
Description: partial 16S ribosomal RNA
Rfam family: Bacterial small subunit ribosomal RNA
Source: RNAcentral